This 2843-nucleotide ribosomal RNA is filed under the name Kudoa yasunagai. Its description in RNAcentral is "eukaryotic LSU rRNA". It matches the Rfam family "Eukaryotic large subunit ribosomal RNA", at positions 1 to 2614 of the family's 3401-position model. The record is from RNAcentral. Lineage: Eukaryota; Metazoa; Cnidaria; Myxozoa; Multivalvulida; Kudoidae.
UGGACCUUAACUCAGGCAAGACUACCUGCUGAACUUAAGCAUAUCAGUAAGCAGAGGAAAAGAAAACAACUGUGAUUCCCUUAGUAACUGCGAGUGAAGCGGGAAAAGCCCAUCGUUUAAUCUCCUCGUCCGCAGUGGCGGGGCGAAAUGUAACGGUAUGGAUAGGUUCUCUACCAACAARGUCUGAUCAAAGUCCUCCGGAUUGAGGUGCCAAAGAGGGUGACAGCCCCGUGUGUGAUUGGACUGAGUUGGGCAUGUGGCCGAUUCCGAGAGUCGGGUUGUUUGGGACUGCAACCUAAAGCAGGUGGUAAACUCCACCCAAGGCUAAAUAUUGACACGAAACCGAUAGCGAACAAGUACUGUGAAGGAAAGUUGAAAAGAACUCUGAAAAGAGAGUUAAAAGUACGUGAAACCGCUAACGGGGAAGCGGAAGGCAGUGUCGAGAUCGAGUGAGUGAGUCUGCUCAAGAGCAAUUUUGAGUGGGCUAGCUUUGCUUGAUGCGUCAGGGCCGUUGGUGUGCGAUGGUUCAAUGGUCGGCAUGGCUUUCACAGCAAAUUUUUGUUUGUGGAUGCGGCUGGCUAUCCGCCUCGUGUGCUGACGUGCGAGUGAGGAGCGUUGGUGAUGUAUUGUCGGUUGGUGCGGUGUGGUGGUUCGCACUGGUCACAGCGUGGCUACGUGCGGACAAGUCAUGUGGUAGUUCAACAACCAAUGCUAGUUCCUGGCGUGAUACCCAACUUUCCGACCCGUCUUGAAACACRGACCAAGGAGGCAGAAUCUAGAGCGAGUUGGAGGGUGGAAAACCCGACGGCGCAGUGAAAGCGAGAGAUGAGACCCAGCGGCCUCGGCUGUUGGGGCAUCAUCGGCCAGUCARUUGUGAUUGAGUUUGAGCUGUAGAUGCUGGACCCGAAAGAUGGUGAACUAUGCGUGAGCAGGGCGAAGCCAGAGGAAACUCUGGUGGAGGCUCGAAGCGAUUCUGACGUGCAAAUCGAUCGUUAGACUUGCGUAUAGGGGCGAUAGACUAAUCGAACCAUCUAGUAGCUGGUUCCCUUCGAAAUAUCCCUCAGGAUCGCUGAGACAAGUGGGAGACAGUUUCAUCGGGUAGAGCGAAUGAUUAGAGGAAUCGGGGAUAUAUUACUCUCGACCUAUUCUCAAACUUCCAACCGGUGAGAGUGCUGUUUGCUUGUGUGAAAUAGUACGUGGAAUGUUUUUGUCUCAAGUGGGCCAUUUUUGGUAAGCAGAACUGGCGAUGCGGGAUGAACCGAGAGUUGAGCUAAGGUGCCUAAGGACACGUUGAUAGAUACCACAAAAGGAGUCGGUCGAUAAAGACAGCAGGGCGGUGGCCCUGAAAGUAGGAAUCCGCUAAGGAAUUGUCUAAAAACUCACCUGCCGAAUCGACCGGCCCUGAAAAUGGAUGGCGCUGAAGCGUGUCACCGAUGCUCGACCUCUACAACGAGAGAUGAUUGUAGGGGGUAGAAGGGCGCGGCGGUGGCGACAAAGUACAAAGUGUAAACUUGUAUGGAGCCGCCGUCGGUGUAGAUCUUGGUGGUAGUAGCAAUUAUAAAAGUGAAAACCUUUUAGGCCGAAGUGGAGAAGGGUUCCACGUGAACAGCAGUUGGACGUGGGUUAGUCGGUCCUAAGCGGUAGCCUAACGGUAAUUCCAAAGCCAACUUGUCAGUUUCGAUUGACCGAGUUGGAAUCCGCGAAAGGGAAUCAGGUUAAUAUUCCUGAACCGGGCUAUGGAGACGCUGCCUUUUGUGUUGUCUGGGGGUUCGCUCUCAGGCAGUGCUGGGGUAGCUUAGCGGUAACGCAAGCAAUCUCGGAGACGUUGACAUCUAUGGCGGGGAGAAUUAUCUUUUCUGCAUAACAGGUAAACCACCUUGGAAUCGAGUCGUUCGGAGAUAAGGUAGAAAGCCUGGAAGAGCACCGCAACUUUUGCAGUGUCCGCAGUGUAGGUGUCGGCCCUUGAAAAUCCGAGGGAGUGGAUAAAUUUCAUGCCCGUCCGUACCGAAUCCGCAUCAGGUCUCCUAGGUGAGCAGCCUCUGGCACUGGAACAAUGUAGGUAAGGGAAGUCGGCAAAAUAGAUCCGUAACUUUGGGAAAAGGAUUGGCUCUAAGGGCCGGGCCAAUCGAGCUAGUAUUACCUAGGCUCGUGGGGGUUUGACUGGGUGGCCCAUCAAAUUUGCCCAAAAAGUUUGUUUGGGGGUUUGCUUGGUCGAGUCAACGCUGGCCAUGGAAUGCCGGCGUGAGUUUCCAGCAAGCCGAGUUGCCGCAAGGUGGCUCGGUCGAUGGGGCUCUUUACGAGUGGCAAGCAUCGGUCGACUUAGAACUGUUACCAACUUGGGGAAUCCGACUGUUUAAUUAAAACAAAGCAUUGCGAUGGCCCUAAUGGGUGUUGACGCAAUGUGAUUUCUGCCCAGUGCUCUGAAUGUCAAAGUGCGGAAACGCAACCAAGCACGGGUAAACGGCGGGAGUAACUAUGACUCUUUAAAGGUAGCCAAAUGCCUCGUCAUCUAAUUAGUGACGCGCAUGAAUGGAUCAACGAGAUUCCCACUGUCCCUACCUACCAUCCAGCGAAACCACAGUCAAGGGAACGGGCUUGACUGAGACAGCGGGGAAAGAAGACCCUGUUGAGCUUGACUCUAGUUUGAUUUUGUGAGAAGACAUGAGGGGUGUAGAAUAGGUGGGAGGUCUCGCAAGGGGCCGUCGGUGAAAUACCACUACCUUCAUCGUUUUCACACUAAGUCGGUUACACGGGAAAUACUUGUCCUCACAAAGGGGGCAGGUGGAUUCGUGGCUAUAAGACAGACCGAUCUGUUGACCCAUCGCCGAUGACAGAAUCAGAUG